UGAGCUCGAGCCGUGAACGAGUCGCUUAAUCAAUAGUUUAAUUUGAUACUAAAACAUAUCUAAUAGUUCAAAAUACAAAAUAAUUAUAUGAAAUAAGGUACUAUAAUAUAAAGAAAAAUAACUUAUGAGUUGAAUAUCUAAUCUUUUCAGCCUUGUACGAACUUAUGAGUUGAGUAACUUAUGAUUAGAAAUAACGAAAAUAGUUGAUCCAAAGACUAAAAAACUAGUAGCAAUAAUGGAAUUUUGCUACUAAUAGUAGCCCAGUCCAACUAUAUACAUAUAUAUAUAUACUACUUAUGAAAGCGUGAGUUUUAAAUUUUUUUCUCUUUUCAAAAAUGCCUCUACCCUUUUUAUUAAUAUUUUCAUGUCCAGUAAUUUUUAACGAAUCAUUUCAAAUAAUUCACUAAAUAAUAAUUUAUUCUUAAAUAAAGAUAUUAAUUUUUUGUCAUUAGAUUUUAUCUAACGAUUGAAAAUAAAAGUAUCUGUCAUUUUUUUUUUGAUAAUAAUAUCCUCCAUAUCCGUUAUCUCCUAUCUACGCAUUUCUCAAAUAUUUUUUUCCUACCCGCCAAUCAUGUAAUACGUAAAAUUAAAUUUAUAAUGCAGUACCUGCCAAUCAUAUAAUACGUAAAAUUAAAUUCGUAAUAUCCACCAAUCACGUAAUAUGUAUAAUUAAAUUAUCUCAUAUCCACGUGUUUUCUCAAAUAUUUUUUCUUUCUCAAACGUAAUACUCGCUAAUACUCAAAUUAAAUUUAAAUUUGUAAUGUCCGCCAAAAUUUAAUAUCCGUAAAUUUGAUAAUUUAAAUUUUAAUUCAUGAUAUUAGAUUUUCUUAUGUAAGAUGAUAGAUUCAAUUUUAACGAGUAUUAAAAUUUGGCGCACCAUAAAAGUGUUACAUAUUGCUAAAAAAAUUUUAAUAUCCAUCCAAUCAAAACUAAAUCGUUAAUUAAAUAUAAUUUUAAAUAUUUUUAGUAAAAUAUUUAAUAUUUAAAUAAUGCGCCAUAAAAGCGUAGAAUAUUUCUAAAAAAAAUUUAAUACCCACCCAAUCAAAACUAAAUCAUUAAUUAAAUAUAAUUUUAAAUUUUUUUAGCAAACUAUUCAAUAUUUAAGUAAGACCUGCUAAAAUAUUCUACGCAUUUCUCAAAUAUAGAGCAUAUCUUAAUACCUCAUAUAUAAUAUUUACAAUAUAUAAUCUUAUCUCAUAAUAAUACUUAUCACAUAAUAGCUGUAAAAAUAUUUUAGAAUUUUUUAAUUAUUGAGCAUAUCUUAAUAUCUUCACGUAUAAUAUCUACAGUAUCCAAUUUUAUCUCAUCAUAAUACUUAUCACGUAAUAUGUAAAGCAUAUCUUUUUCUGGUAGUAUAUUUUUUGAUAUUUUCUUAUUUUCAUCUAUACGUUUCUCAAAUAUAAAGCAUAUAUAUUUUUAGUAAUAUUUUUUUUUUCUUUUCAAUUAUAUUUUUCUCAAAUAUUUUUAAAUAUUUUUUUUAAUAAUAUUCUUUUUCAUUUGUCUUCAUUGUCGGCAGGUACAUCAUGAUCGUCCUCGUCAUCGUCAUCAUCAUCAUCGUCGCCAGCACAUUGUCGCCUUCGUUACUUUCGCCACUAUUGCAUCGCCUGCACAUUGUCGCCUUCGCUACUUUUGCCACAAUUAGAGAGGUAUUUUGAUCUCAUCUAAAUAUUUCUCUCUUUUUUAAUGUGCUUUUAUACUGUUUUAACAUACCUUAUUUUAAUAUUUUCUCAUUUUCACCUAUAUAUUUUCAAAUAUAAAACAUAUAUUUUUUUAAUAAUAUUUUUUUUUUUAUUUUCACCUAUAUCUACAGCAUCUUAUCUUAUCAUAAUAUUUAUCACAUAAUAUAUAGAGCAUAUCUUUUUUUGAUAGUAUACCUUUUGGUAUUUUCUUAUUUUCACCUACACAUUUCUCAAAUAUAAAUUUUAUAUUUUUUUACUAAUAUUUUUUUUUAUUUUUACCUAUGUUUUUCUCAAAUAUUUUUAAAUAUUUUUUUAAUAAUAUUCUUUCUUAUUUGUCACCGUUGUCAAAAAAUACAUCGUGAUCGUUCUCCUCAUUAUCAUCAUCAUUGUCACCGGUACAUUGUCGUCUUCGCUAUCUUCGCCACAACUGGAAAGAUAUUUUGAUCUCAUCUAAAUAUUUCUCUUUUUUUUAAUGUGUCUUUAUACUGUUUUAGCAUAUCUUAUUUUAGUAUUUUCUCAUUUUUACCUAUAUAUUUCUUAAAUAUAAAGCAUAUAUUUUUUUAAUAAUAUCUUUUAUCAUUUUUACCUAUAUUUUUUUUGAAUAUUCUCAAAAUUGUCAUCGUCCUCCUCAUCGUCAUCAUCAUCU
This 2325-nucleotide long non-coding RNA is filed under the name Ananas comosus (pineapple). RNAcentral's name for it is "long non-coding RNA (ACOM_LNC025417)". Lineage: Eukaryota; Viridiplantae; Streptophyta; Magnoliopsida; Poales; Bromeliaceae. The record is from RNAcentral.